Phragmites australis (common reed) is the source of this 173-nucleotide small nucleolar RNA. RefSeq annotates it as small nucleolar RNA snoR143. Lineage: Eukaryota; Viridiplantae; Streptophyta; Magnoliopsida; Poales; Poaceae. The transcript has a single exon. The record is from RefSeq and is a predicted model, not a curated record.
UUGCACCAGGGAUUUGUUAUGUUCUGCCUUCUGGCCGUGUUGGUGGGAUUUUAUACUGGUGCAGAAAGGAAAUGCUGCUCCUUGAAGCAGUGGCGGCCAGACAACCGUUGAGACAGAUCCACAGAUAAAUGACUAAUCUAUUGUUGUUUGUCUACUAAUUCUAUCUCACAUUU